Molecule: ribosomal RNA, 859 nt
Filed under: uncultured bacterium
Lineage: Bacteria
Description: bacterial SSU rRNA
Rfam family: Bacterial small subunit ribosomal RNA
Source: RNAcentral
GAGUUUGAUCCUGGCUCAGAACGAACGCUGGCGGCAGGCCUAACACAUGCAAGUCGAGCGCACUCUUCGGAGUGAGCGGCGGACGGGUUAGUAACGCGUGGGAACAUACCCUUUUCUACGGAAUAGCCUCGGGAAACUGAGAGUAAUACCGUAUACGCCCUUCGGGGGAAAGAUUUAUCGGUGAAGGAUUGGCCCGCGUUUGAUUAGAUAGUUGGUGGGGUAAUGGCCUACCAAGUCUACGAUCAAUAGCUGGUUUGAGAGGAUGAUCAGCAACACUGGGACUGAGACACGGCCCAGACUCCUACGGGAGGCAGCAGUGGGGAAUCUUAGACAAUGGGCGCAAGCCUGAUCUAGCCAUGCCGCGUGAGUGACGAAGGCCUUAGGGUCGUAAAGCUCUUUCGCCAGGGAUGAUAAUGACAGUACCUGGUAAAGAAACCCCGGCUAACUCCGUGCCAGCAGCCGCGGUAAUACGGAGGGGGUUAGCGUUGUUCGGAAUUACUGGGCGUAAAGCGUACGUAGGCGGAUUGGAAAGUAUGGGGUGAAAUCCCAGGGCUCAACCCUGGAACUGCCCUGUAAACUAUCAGUCUAGAGUUCGAGAGAGGUGAGUGGAAUUCCAAGUGUAGAGGUGAAAUUCGUAGAUAUUUGGAGGAACACCAGUGGCGAAGGCGGCUCACUGGCUCGAUACUGACGCUGAGGUACGAAAGUGUGGGGAGCAAACAGGAUUAGAUACCCUGGUAGUCCACACCGUAAACGAUGAAUGCCAGACGUCAGGGGGCUUGCCCUUUGGUGUCACACCUAACGGAUUAAGCAUUCCGCCUGGGGAGUACGGUCGCAAGAUUAAAACUCAAAGGAAUGACGG